This 319-nucleotide ribosomal RNA is filed under the name uncultured eukaryote. RNAcentral describes it as "partial 18S ribosomal RNA". It matches the Rfam family "Eukaryotic small subunit ribosomal RNA", at positions 1470 to 1796 of the family's 1831-position model. The record is from RNAcentral.
CCCUUAGAUGUUCUGGGCAGCCCGCGCGCUACAAUGGUCUUCGCAAACGGAUGCAUUCUCGAAGGAGAAUGCCAAUCUUGGAAUCUAUGCCUUGGUCGGGACAGUUGCUUGCAAUUUUUCGACUCGAACCAGGAAUUCCUUGUAAUCGUGAUUCAUCACAUCACGAUGAAUACGUCCCUGCCCUUUGUACACACCGCCCGUCGCUCCUACCGAUCGAAGAGUUAGGUGAAUUGUUUUGAUCGAUAAGAUUUGACUAUGGUCAACUCUCGUUGUGAAAUUCUGUGAAUCUGACUGUUUAGAGGAAGGAAAAGUCGUAACA